GGUUGUGUAUGAUGAUAUCAUAAAUUCAAUACAGUUAUCCCUGUCUGAUAAAUCUUGAUUGCAUGAAAUUGAUCUGACACAAAC
RNAcentral lists this small nucleolar RNA (84 nucleotides) under Helianthus annuus (common sunflower). Its description in RNAcentral is "Small nucleolar RNA R38". It matches the Rfam family "Small nucleolar RNA R38". Rfam says of the family: snoR38 is a C/D box small nucleolar RNA conserved across yeast, human, Arabidopsis and rice. It is encoded in the intron of elongation factor-1 gamma in both pombe and cerevisiae. snoR38 guides the methylation of 2'-O-ribose sites in 28S rRNA. The record is from RNAcentral. Lineage: Eukaryota; Viridiplantae; Streptophyta; Magnoliopsida; Asterales; Asteraceae.